UCCUCAUCAAAAUUUAAUUCAAAACCGGUCGUAACCCUAUAACACUAGACACACGGUAAACCACAACCCUAAUAUUAAUUAACCCUAUCCCAAACUAUGACUUAUUGUUUAAAAUAUACACAUCCUACGAGACAAGUUAAAAAACCAUUUUUUACCAAAACUAAAAACUAUUAUAUCUACAUUUUCCAAAAAAUCAUUAUUACAACAAUUGAAGUAGAAAAAUAAUAAUCUCUAAAUUUAGAUUUAAUUCAAAGUACGUGUUCAUAUCUAACACUACGAUAGUGAACGUAUUCCCACGUUUAUCAUAGUUGGUACAGGGUUCCCACUAGAAUUUUUGGUGAGCAGGCCUUUUUGAAACACGUAUAGUAGGCGGCUACUGCGGCUGAAGGUGUGAGAAAUAACCAGCGAUUGUCGAAAAUCGCCUGGUGCCGGCUUCUAUUGGGAACUCUGUGGUAAUAAUUCUAAAUACAAUACUGUACUUCUUUUCAACUUUAUAGUUUUUAUAGAGCAACCUAUAGUAUGGAAAACUAACUGUCUGUAUUACUGAUCACUGUGCAAUAAAUAUUUCUCACAUAUCACAUAUUAUAUUUCAUUUACAUGAAAUAUAAGAAAGACGUAAAACACCUCUUUGACUCUUUCAAAGAAAAUGGCCUGAUCCAUAAUUACUUGGCACCCAAUUUUCCUUUCAACUUCCGUAAAACCCUUCACCACUGACUGUAUUUGACAAAAAAGCGUUCAAUUGCAUGAUGUUAAUAAAAAAUGAUUACUUAUUUCGAAGGACAAAGUACGAAGGUAUUCUUCUACAAUUAUCUUUUUGGCUUUUACCAUACGAAAUGUAGUUUUUAGGAUUUUUUUAACAGUUGGUCUUCUUACGCGAUUUUUUUCGUGAUAGGCAAGUUUUAAACAUUGCUUUUUUCCCUCCUUUACGAGUUGUAUCGAUAUGUCUUCGUUCGGAUAAUGAAUAUACUAUUAUGUAUUUUGUAUACAUUCAACCGAUAUACAAACAGUAUACAUAAGUGCAGUGCAAUUUCAAAGGGACUUCCUGUUUCUAAAGAUAUCAUGCACCCACGCUCGCUAAAAAUUUUAAUGAUUCAAAGUUUGUGAGUUCACGGCAACCAGGUAUAUCAGUCGUGUUUUUGCUCGCUACUCUGUUUUUUAUAAAUGAAUGCAAAGCCCAGUCGAAUUGGAUUCACGACCCAACGUUUCGACACUCCAGUCUAGUAGUGUCUUGCAUCAGGGGUGAUCUGGAGUCGCAAGCGUGCAUCUACAAGCGUGGUAUAUAAAUACGAGUAAUCAUGCUAUGAAUAGCAGGGCCAGGGUGAAAAAUAAAUCAUUUAAAUAUAUUUGUAGGCUGUUUGGUGCGUGUUACAAUUGUACUGGCGAUUUGUUUCUUAACACUACGUUUAAAUCCUGAAAUAGAAGUACAAAGUUUUAGAUCAUUGUUCAACGAAUUCCAGGGGCUAACAGCCUAAUUAAAUAAACCAUCACAAAAUAAAAUUCUAAAAUAAUUACCAAGUCUGAGAACAAACGUUCCAUCCAUGGCUUGUCCAUGGCUCUGGCAUGCAUUAUGACGCAUGGGCAUCGAUUUUCAUCAUACAAUUACGAUUCCCACCUAGUUCAUGGCUACCAGAAAUUCAGAUUUAUGGCUACCAGAAUGCUUAACGCCAUCUUUUUAUGUCAAGACAGGACAGCAUAUAUUUCAUUUAAACCCAUAGGCCAUAAAUUCACUGUAUACAUCAAUGAAUUAAGAAGAAAAACUCAUUGCUCAUUUAUGGAAGUUGCCGGCUAUAGUGCUGUGAAAACGCCGGUGGCAGCCGGUAGCCGGUUUCUAUUUUAAACUCUAAAUAUGACGGUGCUUAUUUGCCACAAGAAAAUGUACACUUUGUUAGCAGGUGACGUCAUCAUGAGUACAUAAGAAGCCACGUUGCGACUUCAGAUCACUCUUGAUGAAAACACUAGACUGGAGUGUCGAAACGUUGGGUCGUGAAUGCAACUCGACUGGAUUUUGCAUUCAUAUAUAAAAAUCAGAGUUAUAGCGGGUGAAAACAUGAAUUUUAAUUAUACUAAAACUAUGACAAACAAACCUUUUUCGCCAAAUAUACACGGUGCUUUUCAGCGAGCAGUGAGUUUUAAAUGUACAGGGUGUGCAAAAUGCAAUUAUAGCUAUGUUCUAGGCACAGCUAUACAAUUAUUCGUGGGCAUCGAAAAUUCAAUCUCAGAGAUGAAUUUUGUGUUAUGGCUGUUUAAAGGUAUCAUCGAAUCUUUUUAUACUUCACACAACUGGUGCUGAGGCACGAUUCAAUGAUCCCCAGACUUAAAGCAGUCAUAACAUUGGUUCUACUAGAUCAAUUUUAAUAUUCUAAGUGUCAAAAUUCAUCUCUUAGAUUGCAAUUUCGAUGCCCACUAAUAAAUAAUUACUGUACAGUAGCUGUGUAAAAAUCUGGAACACAGCUUUUGCACUUUUGUAGAGACCAUGUACUGAAAUAACUGCGAGAACUGAAUGUCCGGUAAAGUAUUCAGCCAGAUUUGAUAUAUUAUAAUUAGUCCAGGUCAUAUAUUAUACACUUACAAAUACCGAACGGCGAACAAUGGAAUCAACACAUGACUAAACAGUGUGAAAAACUUAUACCUAUUAUAAAAAUCUAUAACAUAUAUACGUAUAACUAGAAUAGUCAAUCAUUCAAUUUAAAUACAACUAUAAGUAUAAUACCACGCUUAAUAUUUAUAACCUAACAUUGAACCAUCUAAAUUGAACUUAGUGUCCUAACCAUCAAAAUUGAACUUAGUGUCUCUGUGUAUGAAUAAACUUCUAUCAAAUAUACAAUUUGUAUUUAACCCUAUCACCAGUAUGGAAUGAAAUGCAUGUAUAUAGUGGCAGCAAUUCCUUUACAUUGCCGUCUACGUGUCUGACACUGCAGCCCUCUUCUCAGCUUCAAUAUAGAACUGUCAUAACAACACACCCUGUUGUGCCCUGCGGCAUAGAUUUGAGAUGUAAGAAAAUAGAGUGUACAGUUGAACAGUAUACGAUAAAUGUACAUCUUCGUAUCUAUAACGACUGCCUAUUCUUGUACUAUCAAUUCUUCAGGUCUACAUUUUCGUAAUACUUAUCGUUCCUCUUUUUCUUCUCGCCAUUCUCUUCCUUGGGAGAAUCUAAAAAGACGUCCUCGUAUUGACCAGUAGGAGCCUUGGCCUUAUCGUUAGCUGAAGAUACCAUAGGAGUGACAUUUUCAUACCGCUGCUUUGGUUGUGCUGUAUCAUUAGUUUCCUUCAGAUUUUCUGGGGUGACGUUUUCAUACGGUCUGCUAAGCGGCUUAUCACUAGGAAGGUCAACACGUUCAUAACCAGCAUCUCGCCGAGGGUUGUUAUUUGUCUUUCGUGGAGAUGUUGUACUCGGUUCGCU
Non-coding RNA from Paramuricea clavata, 3400 nucleotides. NCBI's taxonomy places the organism in Eukaryota, Metazoa, Cnidaria, Anthozoa, Malacalcyonacea, Plexauridae. The record is from the annotation of a GenBank genome assembly.